AAAAAAAAAAAAAAAAAAAAAAAAAGGAAAAAAAAAUCAAGGGAAGGCGAGCAAAUGGUUUGGGAUCUGACAGUCCACUUCACAUCCCUCUCAAAAUCACUUAAGAAGUACCUAAACAGUGGGAGAUUAAGUUUGAGUUUCCCUUUGUGUAUGGAAUGGACCCAAACUUACGUAGAUCUGCUUUAUUGGUAUGCAAGGGAAAAAAAAAAAAAAGUGGGAUUGGAAAGGAACGAUGACUAGAGAAGAAAAAAAAAAAAAAAAAAGGCUGGGGAUGAGAGCCUGAAGUUAACUGCUUUGCAAGAGCCGAACAGCUCAUACAUUUGAUUAGAGUUACGCAAUAUUUGUAGCUCUGCAAAACCAGCGAUGAUCUGGCAUGAUCAGCUCCGCAUGCAAAUUUUUGGCUAAGAAAUGGGAUAUCCUGAUAAUUCAGUGCGUGAGUACAUCUGCUGAAAAUGUUUGCUCUGAUGUUUUCUCUCACUUCUCGUGAUUGCUCUGCAAAUAAAUCUCUCGAAAUAGUUGGGGAAAAAAAAUCCCCCUCCCAUACCCCCAGAUCCCAAUACUGCUCAUCCUAGUACGUUUGUGGCUAAACCAGGCUUUUCACGCAGUUUGUCAGUAGACGUUUUGAAAGAAAAUAAAAAUGCACUAAUUGAAACUGGCCGCUUGUUAAUUGCUUAUUGCUGACAUCUUAGACGCGCUAUAGAUAAAAAAUAAUACGUCUUGCCUCUUCGAAGAAGGGUGACCCUAUAGAUGGUUAUUUGGGGGAGGAAAGGAAAAGAGGAAAACUUGGUUUGCAACGUGGAAAGAAAACCCCAACAAACAAACAAAUCAAAAACCCUGCCCAAAGCCUGUCAUAGUUUUCAUCUUACGCAGGGUCAGGCCCGCCGUCUAAUUGAUUUGCCACCUAUAAUACAUGUAAAUCCGAGCAGAGGUCUUAAACCGCACUAAAUCUCCGGGAACUGAAUGUUUAGCACAGAGGCAGUUAUUAUUCCCAGUUCAGUAGCCUAAAAAAAUUUUUUACAAAAAUUUUUAAAUGUUGGGUUAUUAGUGUAGCUGUUUAACAGACGCUCUCCUGCCUUCCCAGCUGAAAUCCGAAGGUAAAUCUGAGACCGAUUUUGGGAAUAUAUUUUCUUUGGACGCCUGAAGCGCCAGCCCAGCCGGUAAGGAGGCAGACACAGAGCAAUAACGGUUGCAGUACCAGGCUCAUACAGUAGCCCUUAAGUUAGACCCCUCUCUGAGGGCACCGGUGGGCACAUCUUUAUUCAGUCUUCGGCCUCAUCUCCUCAAAAACAGGAGCGGCGUUUGCCAAGAAGGAGCAAUAAAGCGGGGAAGUUGCGGGAGACACCAGAAGGUGGUAUAUAACACAUUUAACUGCGCUGGGAAGCCGGCUUUCCCCUCCUGACAGACAUCACUCAGCUGGCAGGGUAUAAAUAAAGACAAAGAAAAGUAUUUACAGUAUGUACAACCCCAGCACUCUGCCCAGGAAGGUCCCACUUUUUGUCGCUUUGCUUUUCUGGCCAGCAAACGCCAACCCCACCAGGCAGAGCCAGGCAGAUAGAUGAGGGGAUUAAAACAACACCCAAAUAUUUCGAAAUGCAAACAGAACAGAGCAUUGCUUGUGUGAAAGCUAAACCCGCUAAGAACUUGGUAGAAAGUUCAGUGCAGUUGGUUCCAAUAAAAAAUGAAACUCUUUUUUUCAUGUGGAGCUGGAAUUCCCGAUCCUUCUGAAGUGAGAACACAGCGGGGGUUUCCCUACCGAGGGACUUAUUGCAGCCAUAAAGUCAAGCCAACACCACGAAAACACUUGAAAACCCCCCUUGUUCCUGGAGUCAGACAUAGACUUCUUGGCAGCAGAGAAGCCUUCCCUGUAAUGCUCAUGCACACCCGAAAUCACAUCGGAAAAAAAAAGCCGACGGAGCCAUGUAGAGCUCCAGGGCUGAAGGAUUUAAAACAAUGACCCCUGAAGGUGUAAAAAAAUACCCGCUCUCCCCGCGCAUAACCGCCUGAAACUUAAUUUCCAGCAAUUUAAGUUUAAUUUACCUGACUUCCCGUGCAGUGCAUAAUAACCUUGUUAAUGGGAUCUUUGAAAAGAAGCAAUAAUAAUCUACCAUUGUUCCAUUAAAGAGUGCAGCUAAUUAUUAACAAAAAAAAAAAAAAAAAAAAAAAAGAGGGAGGAGGGGAGGGCAGAGGGAGAGAGGGACAUUGAGGGAGUCAAAAUUAAUCCAGCCCGAAGUAUUUCUUGAAAAGCAAGCCCUGGGAAAGGGAAAGGGGGGCUGCUGGUCAAAUAAUAUUGGAAAAGCAGGGAGAAGGAGAGGAAAAGGCAAGACGGAUCAUGUAAUGCAGAAAGUGAAUGCUGGGGGGUGUUGGGAAUUACAGCAUGGAACAAGUUAAUCAUGGCUGUUGCUGGUCAAAAGAGAGAAACUUUUUUUUUUUUUUUUAACCUAGUCCCUGGGCAUCUCACUUUCUUCGAGAAAAUGUCCCUAGUCUAGACGUAAACAGUUGCCAGGAAACUGUGUGGCAGAAGGAGAAAACGAGAGGGAGAAAGCGAGAGGGAGGGAGGGAGAGAGAGAAACCUUUUAAAAUAACAGACACGCAUUGUCCCUUCAAAGCCUACAGUAACUUAAAAGUGAUCCGUCGUCUGCUCUGCUCCCUGCUCCUUCCCCAGCAACCACCUCCAGCCUGUGUACACGACUUGACACAUCUUUUCCAGACCCCACCGAAAUGACCACUCGAAGCAAUAAAUAAAUAAAAGCUCCUCUGCCUUUUAUGAUCGGCUGAAAUCCCCUUUGCCUCUUCCGUCAUCACUGCACCGCGUUUUACAAGAUAUCCGCUUGUGUUCACGCUCAGCGACCCACCGGCCACCUUUCAUCUUCCAUGUGCAUGCGUACGGAUGGAUGUGAGUCCUUCCACGUGUGUGCACGUGUGGAUUUGCACACACAUGGCACGGAACAGCUGUACACGCGUACCGGCGCAGGUCGGGGGAGGUAUGGAUCAACGCGCGCCUAUGGGAUGGCCAUAGCUCACAUAACCCUAUUUCCGAGGACUGCCGCGAACUGCCCUCUCCGAAGAAACCACCCACAUAAUAAUGACCCUGGAGAGCAACGCAAAACCCAACUGGCUUCCACACAAACUUCG
Falco peregrinus (peregrine falcon) is the source of this 3132-nucleotide long non-coding RNA. RefSeq lists it as uncharacterized. The record is from RefSeq and is a predicted model, not a curated record. The transcript is spliced from 3 exons. Lineage: Eukaryota; Metazoa; Chordata; Aves; Falconiformes; Falconidae.